This 493-nucleotide ribosomal RNA is filed under the name uncultured bacterium. RNAcentral's name for it is "bacterial SSU rRNA". It matches the Rfam family "Bacterial small subunit ribosomal RNA", at positions 28 to 524 of the family's 1533-position model. The record is from RNAcentral.
GAUGAACGCUAGCGGGAGGCCUAACACAUGCAAGCCGAGCGGUAUUGUUUCUUCGGAAAUGAGAGAGCGGCGUACGGUGCGGAACACGUGUGUAACCUGCCUUUAUCUGGGGGAUAGCCUUUCGAAAGGAAGAUUAAUACUCCAUAAUAUAUUGAACGGCAUCGUUUAAUAUUGAAAGCUCCGGCGGAUAGAGAUGGGCACGCGCAAGAUUAGCUAGUUGGUGAGGUAACGGCUCACCAAGGCGAUGAUCUUUAGGGGCCUGAGAGGUGAUCCCCCACACUGGUACUGAGACACGGACCAGACUCCUACGGGAGGCAGCAGUGAGGAAUAUUGGUCAAUGGGUGCAAGCCUGAACCAGCCAUCCCGCGUGAAGGACGACUGCCCUAUGGGUUGUAAACUUCUUUUGUAUAGGGAUAAACCUACCCUCGUGAGGGUAGCUGAAGGUACUAUACGAAUAAGCACCGGCUAACUCCGUGCCAGCAGCCGCGGUAAU